Molecule: long non-coding RNA, 462 nt
Organism: Chinchilla lanigera (long-tailed chinchilla)
Lineage: Eukaryota; Metazoa; Chordata; Mammalia; Rodentia; Chinchillidae
Exons: 2
Source: RefSeq, a predicted model, not a curated record
CCCCACCCGUAAAAACGUUUCAGUCCGGGCCCUGGGCAGAGAUGAGCCCCAAAGUGCUCACCAUGCUGACUGCACUUCCCUGCAUGGUUUACUUCAUCGUGAAGUCUAAAUUUGGUUCUGAAGUACCCAUCCAAGCUCCAUAACUUGCCUCUUGAAGACAAGAAGAUAUCCAUGGCUGGAAUGACUCUCAUAGAAUCAAUUAAGAAUGCCUAUAGAUGGAAUAAACAAAACUCCAUAGAGAUUACAGGCAAAAAAUGAUCAGCAAGUCAUAGUUUCUGGCUGCUGGAGGCUGACUGCAACUGAAUAAUAGAACAAACAGGGAGCUUCAUUAUCACGGUGUGCCGCUGCUGCUGGGCUCCUUUAAGCAAAAAAUCAUGUUGAAGAAAAACAAGGCACUUCUAAUGUGAUCUAAACUUUUGUCUUUUUUUUUUUUUGCCUUUUAAGAGCAUUCACAAAUACUCA